AACGCGAAGAACCUUACCUGGGCUCGAAAUGCUGUGGACCAGUUUGUGAAAGCAGACCUUCCCGCAAGGGACCGCAGUAUAGGUGCUGCAUGGCUGUCGUCAGCUCGUGUCGUGAGAUGUUGGGUUAAGUCCCGCAACGAGCGCAACCCUUGUCCUGUGUUGCCAUACCGAAAGGUGGAACUCGCAGGAGACCGCCAGGGAUAACCUGGAGGAAGGUGGGGAUGACGUCAAGUCCUCAUGGCCUUUAUGUCCAGGGCUACACACGUGCUACAAUGGACGGUACAAAGGGCUGCCAACCCGCGAGGGGGAGCCAAUCCCAAAAAACCGUUCUCAGUUCGGAUUGCAGGCUGCAACUCGGCUACAUGAAGUUGGAAUUGCUAGUAAUGACGUGUCAGCAAUAACGUCGUGAAUACGUUCCCGGGCCUUGUACACACCGAGACGAC
RNAcentral lists this ribosomal RNA (443 nucleotides) under uncultured bacterium. RNAcentral describes it as "bacterial SSU rRNA". It matches the Rfam family "Bacterial small subunit ribosomal RNA", at positions 958 to 1398 of the family's 1533-position model. The record is from RNAcentral.